UACGUAGGGUCCGAGCGUUGUCCGGAAUUACUGGGCGUAAAGAGCUCGUAGGUGGUUUGUCGCGUUGUUCGUGAAAACUCACAGCUCAACUGUGGGCGUGCGGGCGAUACGGGCAGACUUGAGUACUGCAGGGGAGACUGGAAUUCCUGGUGUAGUGGUGGAAUGCGCAGAUAUCAGGAGGAACACCGGUGGCGAAGGCGGGUCUCUGGGCAGUAACUGACGCUGAGGAGCGAAAGCGUGGGGAGCGAACAGG
Molecule: ribosomal RNA, 253 nt
Filed under: uncultured bacterium
Lineage: Bacteria
Description: partial 16S ribosomal RNA
Rfam family: Bacterial small subunit ribosomal RNA
Source: RNAcentral